Molecule: long non-coding RNA, 561 nt
Organism: Scylla paramamosain (green mud crab)
Lineage: Eukaryota; Metazoa; Arthropoda; Malacostraca; Decapoda; Portunidae
Exons: 3
Source: RefSeq, a predicted model, not a curated record
CAGUCGCCUCGUUCUGUCUCGGCAAGCCAAACCGUGUCCCCUGCAAUGAAAACAAGCUCGCCUUGGUGUGCAAUUAUAGACGAGGACGGAGGGCGGGUAGGUUCGUCAUGCCUCGCUUCUAAUCAGUAAACGUUUGGAAUAUCUCGCGAAUGGGUGUGACGAUUUUGUGCCGAGAAGAAACACGGACGCAAGUGAAAUGAGUCGCUUUGUAUUUUUUCUUCAAACACGGCGUCUUUGCAUCACCUGUUGACCGGCCAAACAGCGUCACACCUCAGCUGACUGGUGGCCGCCACAUCCGCCUCUCUCUCUCUCUCUCUCUCUCUCUCUCUCUCUCUCUCUCUCUCUCUCUCUCUCUCUCUCUCUCUCUCUCUCUCUCUCUCUCUCUCUCUCUCUCUCUCUCUCUCUCUCUCUCUCUCUCUCUCUCUCUCUCUCUCUCUCCCCCGCUCAGGACCACCACCAUCAUCACCACUACUGCCACCAUGAUACUACCACUAUCUCCACUAUUAUGACUUUCAUUUACCGCUUUAAUAUAAUAGUAACACAUCUAAAAUUACUACUACU